CUGAUCCAGCCUACCGCGUGUGUGAAGAAGGCCUUCGGGUUGUAAAGCACUUUAAGCAGGGAGAAAAAGUUAUAAGUUAAUACCUUAUAACCCUGAUGUUACCUGCAGAAUAAGCACCGGCUAAUUCCGUGCCAGCAGCCGCGGUAAUACGGAAGGUGCAAGCGUUAAUCGGAAUUACUGGGCGUAAAGCGCGCGUAGGUGGUUUGUUAAGUUGGAUGUGAAAGCCCUGGGCUCAACCUAGGAACUGCAUCCAAAACUAACUCACUAGAGUACGAUAGAGGGAGGUAGAAUUCAUAGUGUAGCGGUGGAAUGCGUAGAUAUUAUGAAGAAUACCAGUGGCGAAGGCGGCCUCCUGGAUCUGUACUGACACUGAGGUGCGAAAGCGUGGGUAGCGAACAGGAUUAGAUACCCUGGUAGUCCACGCCGUAAACGAUGACAACUAGCUGUUGGGAGACUAUGUCUUUCAGUGGCGCAGCUAACGCUUUAAGUUGUCCGCCUGGGGAGUACGGCCGCAAGGCUAAAACUCAAAUGAAUUGACGGGGACCCGCACAAGCGGUGGAGCAUGUGGUUUAAUUCGAUGCAACGCGAAAAACCUUACCUACUCUUGACAUACUUGGAGGCUCUUGUAAUGAGAGUGUGCCUUUUGGAACCAAGGUACAGGUGCUGCAUGGCUGUCGUCAGCUCGUGUCGUGAGAUGUUCCGUUAAGUCGGAUAACGAGCGCAACCCUUACCCUUAUUUGCCAGCGAUUCGGUCGGGAACUAUAAGGGGACUGCCGGUGAUAAACCGGAGGAAGGGUGAGGACGACGUCAAGUCAUCAUGGCCCUUACGAGUAGGGCUACACACGUGCUACAAUGGGAGAUACAGACGGACGCUAAGCCGCGAAGGUGGUGCUAAUCCUAAAAAGUCUUUUCGUANNCCGGAUUGGANNCUGCAACUCGACUUCCUUGAAGUCGGAAUUCCCUAGUAAUCC
This 971-nucleotide ribosomal RNA is filed under the name uncultured SAR86 cluster bacterium. Its description in RNAcentral is "bacterial SSU rRNA". It matches the Rfam family "Bacterial small subunit ribosomal RNA", at positions 383 to 1344 of the family's 1533-position model. Lineage: Bacteria; Pseudomonadati; Pseudomonadota; Gammaproteobacteria. The record is from RNAcentral.